RNAcentral lists this ribosomal RNA (497 nucleotides) under uncultured bacterium. RNAcentral's name for it is "partial 16S ribosomal RNA". It matches the Rfam family "Bacterial small subunit ribosomal RNA", at positions 28 to 507 of the family's 1533-position model. The record is from RNAcentral.
GAUGAACGCUGGCGGCGUGCCUAAUACAUGCAAGUCGAGCGAACAGACGAGGAGCUUGCUCCUCUGACGUUAGCGGCGGACGGGUGAGUAACACGUGGAUAACCUACCUAUAAGACUGGGAUAACUUCGGGAAACCGGAGCUAAUACCGGAUAAUAUAUUGAACCGCAUGGUUCAAUAGUGAAAGACGGUUUUGCUGUCACUUAUAGAUGGAUCCGCGCCGCAUUAGCAAGUUGGUAAGGUAACGGCUUACCAAGGCAACGAUGCGUAGCCGACCUGAGAGGGUGAUCGGCCACACUGGAACUGAGACACGGUCCAGACUCCUACGGGAGGCAGCAGUAGGGAAUCUUCCGCAAUGGGCGAAAGCCUGACGGAGCAACGCCGCGUGAGUGAUGAAGGUCUCCGGAUCGUAAAACUCUGUUAUUAGGGAAGAACAAAUGUGUAAGUAACUAUGCACGUCUUGACGGUACCUAAUCAGAAAGCCACGGCUAACUACGUG